Molecule: non-coding RNA, 24 nt
Filed under: Arabidopsis thaliana (thale cress)
Lineage: Eukaryota; Viridiplantae; Streptophyta; Magnoliopsida; Brassicales; Brassicaceae
Source: RNAcentral
AUAAUGCCCCUUUUCAACUCUACC